UCCCCGGUGGUCUAGUGAUUAGGAUUCAGUGCUUUCACCACUGCAUCCCAGGUUCGAUCCCUGGUCUGGGAA
RNAcentral lists this transfer RNA (72 nucleotides) under Sus scrofa (pig). It matches the Rfam family "tRNA". From Rfam's summary of the family: Transfer RNA (tRNA) molecules are approximately 80 nucleotides in length. The record is from Rfam by way of RNAcentral. Lineage: Eukaryota; Metazoa; Chordata; Mammalia; Artiodactyla; Suidae.